This 135-nucleotide small nucleolar RNA is filed under the name Apaloderma vittatum (bar-tailed trogon). RNAcentral describes it as "Small Cajal body specific RNA 3". It matches the Rfam family "Small Cajal body specific RNA 3". Rfam says of the family: scaRNAs are a specific class of small nuclear RNAs which localise to the Cajal bodies and guide the modification of RNA polymerase II transcribed spliceosomal RNAs U1, U2, U4, U5 and U12. Lineage: Eukaryota; Metazoa; Chordata; Aves; Trogoniformes; Trogonidae. The record is from Rfam by way of RNAcentral.
ACUGGAAGCUGCUUGGACCAGUUGUGGGCAAAAGAAACGUGUUUUGUCUACUCUCGCAGUCUUCCUAGAGCAAAGUGGAGGUCUCUGACUGCUUUAGGAGAGCUAACUAAACCGGAUGGUUCCCCUCCACACAUG